AUACGGAGGAUGCAAGCGUUAUCCGGAUUUAUUGGGUUUAAAGGGUGCGUAGGCGGGACUGUAAGUCAGGGGUGAAAUACUGCAGCUUAACUGUAGCAUUGCCUUUGAAACUGCCGUUCUUGAGUACAGUUGAGGUAGGCGGAAUGUGGUGUGUAGCGGUGAAAUGCAUAGAUAUACCACAGAACGCCGAUUGCGAAGGCAGCUUACUAAGCUGUUACUGACGCUGAGGCACGAAAGCGUGGGGAUCAAACAGGAUUAGAUACCCUGGUAGUCCACGCUGUAAACGAUGAUUACUGGUUGUUAGCGAUAUAUAGCUAGUGACUGAGCGAAAGCAUUAAGUAAUCCACCUGGGGAGUACGUCGGCAACGAUGAAACUCAAAGGAAUUGGCGGGG
This 393-nucleotide ribosomal RNA is filed under the name uncultured bacterium. Its description in RNAcentral is "partial 16S ribosomal RNA". It matches the Rfam family "Bacterial small subunit ribosomal RNA", at positions 523 to 918 of the family's 1533-position model. The record is from RNAcentral.